CCAAGCCGUAAGGUGGAGCUAAUCCCUUAAAGCUACUCUCAGUUCGGAUUGUAGGCUGAAACUCGCCUACAUGAAGCUGGAGUUACUAGUAAUCGCAGAUCAGAAUGCUGCGGUGAAUGCGUUCCCGGGUCUUGUACACACCGCCCGUCACACCACGGGAGUUGGAGACGCCCGAAGCCGAUUAUCUAACCUUUUGGAAGAAGUCGUCGAAGGUGGAAUCAAUAACUGGGGUGAAGUCGUAACAAGGUAGCCGUAUCGGAAGGGGCGGCUGGAUCACCUCCUUUCUAAGGAGA
This 293-nucleotide ribosomal RNA is filed under the name Clostridioides difficile. Its description in RNAcentral is "partial 16S ribosomal RNA". It matches the Rfam family "Bacterial small subunit ribosomal RNA", at positions 1250 to 1533 of the family's 1533-position model. Lineage: Bacteria; Bacillati; Bacillota; Clostridia; Peptostreptococcales; Peptostreptococcaceae. The record is from RNAcentral.